RNAcentral lists this ribosomal RNA (395 nucleotides) under uncultured bacterium. RNAcentral describes it as "bacterial SSU rRNA". It matches the Rfam family "Bacterial small subunit ribosomal RNA", at positions 29 to 424 of the family's 1533-position model. The record is from RNAcentral.
AUUAAACGCUGGCGGCAUGCCUUACACAUGCAAGUCGAACGGCAGCACGGGGGCAACCCUGGUGGCGAGUGGCGGACGGGUGAGUAAAGCAUCGGAACGUAUCCUGGAGUGGGGGAUAACGUAGCGAAAGUUACGCUAAUACCGCAUAUUCUGUGAGCAGGAAAGCAGGGGAUCGCAAGACCUUGCGCUCUGGGAGCGGCCGAUGUCGGAUUAGCUAGUUGGUGGGGUAAAGGCCUACCAAGGCGACGAUCCGUAGCGGGUCUGAGAGGAUGAUCCGCCACACUGGGACUGAGACACGGCCCAGACUCCUACGGGAGGCAGCAGUGGGGAAUUUUGGACAAUGGGCGCAAGCCUGAUCCAGCCAUGCCGCGUGAGUGAAGAAGGGCCUUCGGGUU